CGUGUUUUAUAGGGGAGCUGGAAAGGCCGGCUGAGAGAUAGAUCUGAUCAAAUCUAUGACCCUUUGACCUGAUCUGGGUAAUGCCAGCGUAGGGAUGUUACAAUACUUUGCAA
Molecule: non-coding RNA, 113 nt
Organism: Sporomusa sphaeroides DSM 2875
Lineage: Bacteria; Bacillati; Bacillota; Negativicutes; Selenomonadales; Sporomusaceae
Source: Rfam